RNAcentral lists this transfer RNA (72 nucleotides) under Ovis aries (sheep). It matches the Rfam family "tRNA". Rfam says of the family: Transfer RNA (tRNA) molecules are approximately 80 nucleotides in length. Their secondary structure includes four short double-helical elements and three loops (D, anti-codon, and T loops). Lineage: Eukaryota; Metazoa; Chordata; Mammalia; Artiodactyla; Bovidae. The record is from Rfam by way of RNAcentral.
UCCCUGGUGGCUCAGAGGGUAAAGCGUCUGCCUGCAAUGCAGGAGACCCAGGUUUGAUUCCUGGCUCAGGAA